UCAAAUGAAUUGACGGGGAGCACCACAACGGGUGGAGCUUGCGGUUUAAUUGGAUUCAACGCCGGAAUCUUACCGGGACCGACAGCAAUAUGAAGGCCAGGCUGAAGACUUUGCCGGAUUAGCUGAGAGGUGGUGCAUGGCCGUCGUCAGUUCGUACUGUGAAGCAUCCUGUUAAGUCAGGCAACGAGCGAGACCCACGCCCACAGUUGCCAGCGUACUCUCCGGAGUGACGGGUACACUGUGGGGACCGCCGCUGCUAAAGCGGAGGAAGGAAUGGGCAACGGUAGGUCAGUAUGCCCCGAAUAUCCCGGGCUACACGCGAGCUACAAUGGUUGGUACAAUGGGUAUCUACCCCGAAAGGGGACGGAAAUCUCCUAAAACCAAUCUUAGUUCGGAUUGAGGGCUGCAACUCGCCCUCAUGAAGCUGGAAUCCGUAGUAAUCGCGUUUCAACAGAACGCGGUGAAUACGUCCCUGCUCCUU
RNAcentral lists this ribosomal RNA (481 nucleotides) under uncultured Methanosaeta sp. Its description in RNAcentral is "bacterial SSU rRNA". It matches the Rfam family "Archaeal small subunit ribosomal RNA", at positions 856 to 1338 of the family's 1478-position model. The record is from RNAcentral. Lineage: Archaea; Methanobacteriati; Methanobacteriota; Methanomicrobia; Methanotrichales; Methanotrichaceae.